GACGAAGGAUGCAAGCGUUAUCCGGAUUCAUUGGGUUUAAAGGGCGCGUAGGCGGCCUAGCAAGUCACUUGUGAAAUCUCCGGGCUUAACUCGGAACUGCCAAGUGAAACUGCUGGGCUAGAGUGCAGAAGGGGCAAUCGGAAUUCUUGGUGUAGCGGUGAAAUGCGUAGAUAUCGGGAGGAACACCUGUGGCGAAAGCGGCGCACUGGACCAUAACUGACGCUGAGGCGCGAAAGCUAGGGGAGCGAACAGG
This 253-nucleotide ribosomal RNA is filed under the name uncultured prokaryote. RNAcentral describes it as "partial 16S ribosomal RNA". It matches the Rfam family "Bacterial small subunit ribosomal RNA", at positions 524 to 776 of the family's 1533-position model. The record is from RNAcentral.